AACCUCCGCAAUGUGAGAAAUCGCGACGGGGGGAUCCCAAGUGCCAUUCUUAACGGGAUGGCUUUUCAUUAGUGUAAAAAGCUUUUGGAAUAAGAGCUGGGCAAGACCGGUGCCAGCCGCCGCGGUAACACCGGCAGCUCUAGUGGUAGCAAUUUUUAUUGGGCCUAAAGCGUCCGUAGCCGGUUUAAUAAGUCUCUGGUGAAAUCCUGUAGCUUAACUGUGGGAAUUGCUGGAGAUACUAUUAGACUUGAGACCGGGAGAGGUUAGAGGUACUCCCAGGGUAGAGGUGAAAUUCUGUAAUCCUGGGAGGACCGCCUGUUGCGAAGGCGUCUAACUGGAACGGUUCUGACGGUGAGGGACGAAAGUUAGGGGCGCGAACCGGAUUAGAUACCCGGGUAGUCCUAACUGUAAACGAUGCGGACUUGGUGUUGGGGUGGCUUUGAGCUGCUCCAGUGCCGAAGGGAAGCUGUUAAGUCCGCCGCCUGGGAAGUACGGUCGCAAGACUGAAACUUAAAGGAAUU
This 521-nucleotide ribosomal RNA is filed under the name uncultured bacterium. RNAcentral describes it as "bacterial SSU rRNA". It matches the Rfam family "Archaeal small subunit ribosomal RNA", at positions 345 to 866 of the family's 1478-position model. The record is from RNAcentral.